RNAcentral lists this unclassified non-coding RNA (628 nucleotides) under Hevea brasiliensis (rubber tree). Lineage: Eukaryota; Viridiplantae; Streptophyta; Magnoliopsida; Malpighiales; Euphorbiaceae. The record is from RNAcentral.
UCUCUACAAAUUUUUGAGCUCAAGUGCAUAGAUCAUCAAAUAGACUAGGUGAUUAUGAAGUGAAUGAGAGCAAAGAAUGAGUUAUUGAUUUUUUUUUCUAAUUUUUAGCUAUUUUUUGAAUCAUUUUUCGAUAAAUUUUUCCUUUUGAACACUUAGCAGCAGCAAAGCAAGAGGGAAGUGUGGAUGAGUUUAUUGAUAAAUUCACAUCUAGAGCUGCUCAGGUACCUGGAAUUACAGAUCAACAUUACCUCGAGUACUUCCUCAAUGGUUUAAAAUCAUAGAUAAGGCUGCGGAUUCACUCCCAAGAUACAGUGGAUUUGUUUAAAACCAUGACUCUAGCUAAAGAAAUAGAGAGAGAGUUGUUGCAUGCACCGCUGGUGAAGGAGAUGAAGGGCACUUAUGAUGGGGGAGGAAAAGGGCAGCAAGGUCAUGGGUUGGGCUCUACUUUGGGGUCCAUUAACACUUGCAAGAAUGGUGGGCAAUCCAAAACUAAUGUUCUCAUUCAAGGAGUCCUGGGGCAAGCCCAGGCGGCCGAGGCGCUACAAGGCUCAAGGCGUCCCCCCCCCCCCCAAACCAACCAUAGCAGGCUCAGAAAUUUCAUUUUCUUUAGACCAUCGGCCAAAAAAAU